Molecule: ribosomal RNA, 253 nt
Filed under: uncultured bacterium
Lineage: Bacteria
Description: partial 16S ribosomal RNA
Rfam family: Bacterial small subunit ribosomal RNA
Source: RNAcentral
GACGAACCGUCCAAACGUUAUUCGGAAUCACUGGGCUUACAGAGUUCGUAGGCGGUCUGUCGCGUCUGCUGUGAAAACUCGGGGCUUAACCCCGGGCCUGCAGUGGGUACGGGCAGACUAGAGUGCGGUAGGGGAGACUGGAAUUCCUGGUGUAGCGGUGAAAUGCGCAGAUAUCAGGAGGAACACCGGUGGCGAAGGCGGGUCUCUGGGCCGUAACUGACGCUGAGGAGCGAAAGCGUGGGGAGCGAACAGG